GUAUGGGGCUGUACCGUCGGUUUUGGGUGGUAAAUCGUCCUGCACUCCCMCUAAAUGUCCGGCCAVCGUCGGUUUGGUUUGGCUCUUGCGGACGGUCGGGUAGGUACCUCACUGUGCGGUUUCGGCGUGCGCAGGGAGAACUUAAAGCCGGUCGUUUUUUUGCAGUUGAACGUAGCGRACCGAGGAGACGUGUGCCAAUUCACACAGGCAGAGCAUGCCCGCCGUUUCUGCGGUGGGCCGGACCGCUUCUAAUCGUUGAGUAGGCGCUGCUGGGACUGUUUGCCAGUGCCAGUUGACGCUUUGUUCUCCGGGUUGGGAGGCCGGUCGCGCCUUGCCCUGCAGUC
RNAcentral lists this small RNA (344 nucleotides) under Demospongiae sp. GW33334. RNAcentral's name for it is "partial large subunit ribosomal RNA". Lineage: Eukaryota; Metazoa; Porifera; Demospongiae. The record is from RNAcentral.